GUUUUUUUAAUGAGGGUCGAUUACGCCCAUCGUGGCAUCAUGGGGUGAUCUCGCCGAUACGGUGAUACCACGAUGAGCGUAAGUCAGUGGUGUUGACUGCACAUGCAGGACGCGGGUGCGAUACCCGCCGCGUCCACCAUAAUCGGCUGUCUGUCGAGAGGGCAGUUCGGCCGAUUAUGCUGGGCGCGAAAUAGGAUCGACUGGUGUGUAAAGACAGAUGCUGCGUUCCGGCAUGAUACCGUCGUUAUCGGGUCAACAAUGUAAGUGCUAACAGCAAUGUUCCACUUGUUGAGCUACGUAAAGUAGCCUAACGGAGCCCGGCCGGGGCUUGGCAACAGAACCCGGCCACC
RNAcentral lists this transfer-messenger RNA (350 nucleotides) under Rhizobium sp. PDO1-076. RNAcentral's name for it is "Alphaproteobacteria transfer-messenger RNA". It matches the Rfam family "Alphaproteobacteria transfer-messenger RNA". From Rfam's summary of the family: Bacterial tmRNA, also known as 10Sa RNA or SsrA, is named for its dual tRNA and mRNA-like properties. Its role is to liberate the mRNA from a stalled ribosome. Lineage: Bacteria; Pseudomonadati; Pseudomonadota; Alphaproteobacteria; Hyphomicrobiales; Rhizobiaceae. The record is from Rfam by way of RNAcentral.